This 218-nucleotide long non-coding RNA is filed under the name Lathyrus oleraceus (garden pea). RNAcentral's name for it is "Pisum sativum (pea) long non-coding RNA (PSAT_LNC026317)". Lineage: Eukaryota; Viridiplantae; Streptophyta; Magnoliopsida; Fabales; Fabaceae. The record is from RNAcentral.
ACUGCAUGGGAGAAGCUCAUAAGAGGAUUUUUAGGGUAACCUCUGCAUGGGGAAGAAAAAAAGAGAAUAUUUUAGGGAAUAUAAUUAUAAACCAUAAGAUAGAAGAAUUACUUGUUGGGAAAUAAUUCCACGAGCACACGCGGGGUAAGAACUCUUUUUAGAGAAAUACGGCCGACUUAAAAGAGGAUUGACCUAGAUGCUUAUGAUUGACCAUGGAU